Molecule: ribosomal RNA, 477 nt
Filed under: uncultured anaerobic ammonium-oxidizing bacterium
Lineage: Bacteria
Description: bacterial SSU rRNA
Rfam family: Bacterial small subunit ribosomal RNA
Source: RNAcentral
UUCGCAAUGCCCGAAAGGGUGACGAAGCGACGCCGCGUGUGGGAAGAAGGCCUUCGGGUUGUAAACCACUGUCGGGAGUUAAGAAAUGCAAGGAUAUUAAUAGUGUCUUUGUUUGACUAAGGCUCCGGAGGAAGCCACGGCUAACUCUGUGCCAGCAGCCGCGGUAAUACAGAGGCGGCAAGCGUUGUUCGGAAUUAUUGGGCGUAAAGAGCACGUAGGCGGCUAUGUAAGUCGGUUGUGAAAGCCUUCCGCUCAACGGAAGAACAGCAUCCGAUACUACAUGGCUUGAGUGCGGGAGGGGAGAGUGGAACUUCUGGUGGAGCGGUGAAAUGCGUAGAUAUCAGAAGGAACGCCGGCGGCGAAAGCGGCUCUCUGGCCCAUAACUGACGCUGAGUGUGCGAAAGCUAGGGGAGCAGACGGGAUUAGAUACCCCGGUAGUCCUAGCCGUAAACGAUGGGCACUAAGUAGAGGGGUUUU